This 464-nucleotide ribosomal RNA is filed under the name uncultured bacterium. RNAcentral describes it as "bacterial SSU rRNA". It matches the Rfam family "Bacterial small subunit ribosomal RNA", at positions 338 to 795 of the family's 1533-position model. The record is from RNAcentral.
CCUACGGGAGGCAGCAGUGGGGAAUCUUGCGCAAUGGGCGAAAGCCUGACGCAGCGACGCCGCGUGAGUGAUGAAGGCCUUCGGGUUGUAAAGCUCUGUGGGGAGAGAAGAAUAAGUGCGGGCUAAUACCCCGCAUGAUGACGGUAUCUCCUUAGCAAGCACCGGCUAACUCUGUGCCAGCAGCCGCGGUAAGACAGAGGGUGCAAACGUUGUUCGGAAUUACUGGGCGUAAAGCGAGUGUAGGCGGUCUGAUAAGUCGGAUGUGAAAGCCCCGGGCUCAACCCGGGAAGUGCAUUCGAUACUGUUAGGCUAGAGUAUCGGAGAGGUUGGUGGAAUUCUCGGUGUAGAGGUGAAAUUCGUAGAUAUCGAGAGGAACACCGGUGGCGAAGGCGGCCAACUGGACGAAUACUGACGCUGAGACUCGAAAGCGUGGGGAGCAAACAGGAUUAGAUACCCUUGUAGUC